This 594-nucleotide ribosomal RNA is filed under the name Saccharomyces cerevisiae (brewer's yeast). Its description in RNAcentral is "partial large subunit ribosomal RNA". It matches the Rfam family "Eukaryotic large subunit ribosomal RNA", at positions 62 to 664 of the family's 3401-position model. Lineage: Eukaryota; Fungi; Ascomycota; Saccharomycetes; Saccharomycetales; Saccharomycetaceae. The record is from RNAcentral.
UUACCAUCCGGGAUUGCCUUAGUAACGGCGAGUGAAGCGGCAAAAGCUCAAAUUUGAAAUCUGGUACCUUCGGUGCCCGAGUUGUAAUUUGGAGAGGGCAACUUUGGGGCCGUUCCUUGUCUAUGUUCCUUGGAACAGGACGUCAUAGAGGGUGAGAAUCCCGUGUGGCGAGGAGUGCGGUUCUUUGUAAAGUGCCUUCGAAGAGUCGAGUUGUUUGGGAAUGCAGCUCUAAGUGGGUGGUAAAUUCCAUCUAAAGCUAAAUAUUGGCGAGAGACCGAUAGCGAACAAGUACAGUGAUGGAAAGAUGAAAAGAACUUUGAAAAGAGAGUGAAAAAGUACGUGAAAUUGUUGAAAGGGAAGGGCAUUUGAUCAGACAUGGUGUUUUGUGCCCUCUGCUCCUUGUGGGUAGGGGAAUCUCGCAUUUCACUGGGCCAGCAUCAGUUUUGGUGGCAGGAUAAAUCCAUAGGAAUGUAGCUUGCCUCGGUAAGUAUUAUAGCCUGUGGGAAUACUGCCAGCUGGGACUGAGGACUGCGACGUAAGUCAAGGAUGCUGGCAUAAUGGUUAUAUGCCGCCCGUCUGGAAAACACGGGACCA